CACACUGCUAGGAUUACAGGUGUGUGCCACUGUACCCAGCCUAGAAAAGGACAUUUUAAACAAAUCAAUAAGAAGUGAGGCCUGCAAUAAUAUUGAUAACUAUUCUCUGCUUUUCUGCUCACAGACCUUUGUCAUUUAUUAUGAAUGUUACAUGCAAUCUCAAUCUUGAAAAUCUGAGAAAGGUACAAUCUGAGAAUGGUUGUUAGUAUAAAGCAGUCUCUUUUUGCUACCUUAAAAAGGAUCCACCAAAUUAUAGGCUGACACCUCCCUGUUUCCUCCCACCCAAAGCAUAAUUCAUCUUUUCAGUUCUACUGGGAUAUUACAUUACUUUGGGACUUUAGAGGUAAGCUGUGAAUGAACUCUAGUGCAUCUGUGCUAUGGCCUAUUAAUAAAUUCUUUAACAAUGAUUCACCGUGGGCUUUGAAACAAGUUAAUAUCUAUUAAUUUGCCUUGCCUUAAAUACAAAUUCUUCCUUUCCCAAUAGAACGUCCCUUUGAAAAUGAUUACUACUAAAACGGUGAGAUUGUUAAUGUGCUUCUCACUUUAUUCUUAAUGAAAAGUAGACAAAAUAUAUGAAUCUCAGAUCACAAAAGAUAAUUUUUUGUUAACUGGUGAAGGCUUGGCUUAGUGUUCACACAUUCAGUUCCAUUCAAUUUCAUCAAUAUUUGGAGUAUUAGAUAUUAUUUAUAGUAUUACAGUCUCUUUGUGAUCCCUGAGUGCAUGGCUUAGUAUUUAGUGAACAAAUACCUAUAAGAUGCUAAACAUCAGAUACAAUUGUGUAUAAGGUUUCAUACAGGAGAGAAAGCCAUUAGGCUCACUUUGAGGGAAGGAAACUAUCAAGCUAAAGAGAAAAGGUGAUAUUUAUAAGAAUUCAAGCAAAGAAGUAAGGCAACAUAACAUACAAUUUCACAUAUAUUCUGGAAACCAUGAGAAGUCUAGUGCAGCUAAAAUGCUGGUUGCAUGGGUCAUGGGAAACCCCUCGAACAAUGCCCCAAAUGCAACCUGAGGUCCUUAGUCCUACAACAUCUCAGUGUUUCCUUCCCAGGAGAAGCAAAUGAGAUGAUUGAGACUGUGACUAUCAUCUAUUGUUCUUUAACAGGUUAUUGCUCCCUUAAUGUGUCUCUCAGGGUCAGGCUGCAAAUUUCCCUCAAAGCAGCAUAAAAGAAGAAGGGACACUCACAAAUCCCCUGACCAAUGCCUCUUUGUUUAGAAAUGCUUGCUGUUUGGAAACUUGUGAAGACCUGCAUCCCUUUGUAUCUCAAAUAAAGACAGAGGGUUGAAGAUAGCAAGUGCAUCUCUGGGCAACUACUGCAGCUGGCUGUGGGGGACUGAUGCAUACUGUUGAGGCUGAUCUUACUCUGUCUCCUCUCUAUAAUCAAAAUGUGUCUCUGGAAGCUACUUCCCACCAUCCCUUGGCCAUUGGCACCUGGGCUUCUCACCUGUUCUGCUCUCCGCUGUGACUUUAUUGCUGAGAUCUCCACUGUGAGUUACCACCCACAGCACGUACUUCCUUCCAGGAACAAGGCCUUGAAACCGCCACUCCGUCAGGUCCUUGUCUUUCCAGUUUUCCUUCUUUGUGCCAUUGGGAUUAUAGAGAAUCAGCUCAUAAAAGUCAAAGUCCCCAGAGGCUGGACUCCAGUUGAACCAAAGGCUGUCUGUCGUGUUCCGAUUGGACCCCCUGAGAUGACUCACAGAGGCUGGGACUUAAACAGAAGAAAAAUUGUUACUGAGAACAAAACAGAAACACAGGCAUUUUGGCCCACAGAUCUCUAUUAAGAGAAAAAUACAAAGAAUAAAUGAGUAAGGCUCUUGAAACCAUUGAAUUGUACAAACUUUGGUGGUUUUAAAUCUGGAUUUGUGAAUAGCUGAGCCCGUUCACUGUCCCAUUUUGGAGAACCAUGAGGCAUUCUACAAUCUAGCCCUUCUCCAGGUGGAUGCUUACCUGUCCGCCCAACCACAUUUAUCUGAUUCUUCAGGGACCCGCUGACUGAGGCAAUCAUGAUCUGGUACUGCUCCCCGGCCUCCAGUCUGUGGAACGUGUGCUCAAAGACGUGCUUGGGAAUAGUCUGAGAGUCAACCUUUUGACUGUGCCUGAAUGCCGACACCGUGUAGGAAUCAACGUCUCCCCCACCAGGAGUCCAGUUCACCGUCAGGCUAUCUGUUGCUCCAUUGGGAGAAAUGUGAAUAUUUUUGACAGCACUAGGAACUAAAACAGAAAAUAAAUUUAAAAGUCAUCACUUAGAGAAUGAACUGUUGAAAUUUUCAAACAAAGUUUUGAAUGCUUCUGAUGUUUUGGCACCCACUGAGAGAACUCACAUGAAAAAGAAAGUAACAAUUUGCCACUUUUCUCUGAUUUUUCUGUGUGAACUAAAGUUGAUGGGGGAAAGCUUAGGGGGAAGUCAAAGCCGGUGAGUGGAAAUGAGGAAUGCUAAUUAUAUAGCGAGGGGCUAGUUAGGGUGUCUUGGUCCAAGUUUUGGUUUUCUCACUCACUAGCUGUGGGACUACAGGCAAAUUACUUGACCUCUGUAAGUUUUAGUUUCUUCAUUAGGAAAAAUGGCAGUGAUGAUAAUACUAACCAGCCCAUAGAGUUGUGAAGAUUGAUUCUUUUUUAAUUUAAUUUUAUUUUAUUUUUGAGGUAGGGUCUCUGUCUGUUGUCCAGGCUGGAGUGCAAUGGCAUGAUUAUGGCUCACUGCAUCCUAUACCUCCUGGGCUCAAGUGAUUCUCCCACCUCAGCCUCCCCAGUAGCUGGGACUACAGGCACGUAACACCGUGCCCGGCUAAUUUUUUUGUAUUUUUUGUAGAGACAGGGUUUUGUCAUGUUGCCCAGGCUGUGCUUGAACUCCUGGGCUCAAGCUAUCCUCCUGCCUUGGCUUCCAAAGCAUUGUGAAGACUGAACAAGAUGUAGACAUAAAAUGCUUUGCUGUGGGUCUGGUUCAUGGUGAACUGUCAGUACAUGUUAACUACUAUGGCAACACUCCUAAAAGAGUUCUAAAGAAGUGAUACCCAAGUAACACUUAAUUCUUAAUCUGUGUGCCUCAGAAGCACCAGCUGAUCACAUCAGUUCAUUGCUAUUUCUCUGAAAGCACCCUCCAACCCCGCCACUCUCUGCUGACAUCAUACUUUAUUUUCAUUCAUCCAGGUUGGACAACAUCAUUGUCACUAUCAACAUGACUUUGUCCCUUCUUGCUGUCUCCCUUUUAUCCCUCCAAAUGCUCAAUCGAAAUACCUGAACUACCCGAAAGUUAAAUGCACCACUGCAUCUAUUCAGGUUCAAGAACAGUAUUUCACAUUACCUGUGAAGCCCUCAAUGAAGGCUGACUGCUGUACAUCCCCGCUAAUCGUCAAGACAAGAAUUUUGUAUUGGCGGCCUGGUGUUAGGGAAGUAAAUCGAUACUCGGUUGCGGUAUUUACAAGGUGAAAAGGAGGAAAUACUUUCAUGUCAUUGAAGAGCAGCUGGAUCUCAUAUUGGUCGACAUCCCCAUUAGCUCCUGACCAAGUCACAUGCAAGUCCUCAGUGCUCCUGUUGCGCAAUGUUAGAUCCUUAACAGGCUCUGGAACUAGGGAGAAAAAUGAGAAGACAUUUCAGGAAAGGAACUGAUCAGAGUUUACCUACAUAAUAAUUUAUGAAUCACAUUCAAGGAACUGGCAACAUCUCCCUUCCCCAAAUAAACCACUAGCACUACUUCAUGCAUAAUUAAACAAGAAAAAUUGGAAGCAACUAUUAACAUUGUGGUUUUUUCCUGACAUAAAUGUUACAUGAUCAGCAUUGGUAGAACAUAAUUAUAAAAUGAGUUAUGAUCUCAAUCAUAAGAUAAAACAAGAAGUCUAGAAUCUAAAUGCCAUGAUGCAGGAAGAUAGGGAAGAAAAAUGGGACAUUUAGCCUUCUUGCUCCCUCACUAUGUUUGCUUUUAUCUACCAAUAAAUAUUCUGUAAUUAUAGGCCAUGGCUUGGCUGAAUGAUGUUAGCACCAAGUGAGACUUACUGGGAAUGUAAUGUACUAAUGAAUAAGCAGAAAAAAUUCAAGGUUCAGAUAAAUUACUAGAGACUUUCAAGUCCAACCAACUGUCAGAUUUUGCAAUCGUUCC
Molecule: long non-coding RNA, 4085 nt
Filed under: Homo sapiens (human)
Lineage: Eukaryota; Metazoa; Chordata; Mammalia; Primates; Hominidae
Description: HSALNT0369092
Source: RNAcentral